GACGAACGCUGGCGGCGUGCUUAACACAUGCAAGUCGAGCGGAGCGGCGAACGGGUGCGUAACGCGUGCGUAACUGCCCCCCUCUCUGGGAUAACAUUUGGAACCGGCUGCUAAUCCCGGCUCGUGGGGGAUGACUCGGGUCCUAUCAGCUUGUUGUUGGGGUAGUGGCCUACCAAGGCUACGACGGGUAGCCGGCCUGAGAGGGCGACCGGCCAGAUUGGGCUGGGAUACGGCCCAAACGCCUACGGGAGGCAGCAGGGGGGAAUAUUGCACAAUGGGGGAAACCCUGAUGCAGCAACGCGCGGGGGGGAUGACGGCCUUCGGGUUGUAAACCGCUUUCAGCGAUGACGCGGUAGUGGCAGAAGAAGCACCGGCUAACUACGUGCCAGCAGCCGCGGUAAUAC
Molecule: ribosomal RNA, 404 nt
Filed under: uncultured bacterium
Lineage: Bacteria
Description: partial 16S ribosomal RNA
Rfam family: Bacterial small subunit ribosomal RNA
Source: RNAcentral